RNAcentral lists this transfer RNA (66 nucleotides) under Phrynocephalus putjatai. Its description in RNAcentral is "tRNA-Thr". It matches the Rfam family "tRNA". Rfam says of the family: Transfer RNA (tRNA) molecules are approximately 80 nucleotides in length. Their secondary structure includes four short double-helical elements and three loops (D, anti-codon, and T loops). Lineage: Eukaryota; Metazoa; Chordata; Lepidosauria; Squamata; Agamidae. The record is from RNAcentral. RNAcentral also lists the same sequence under 1 other name.
GUCCUGAUAGCUCAAAAUCAAGAGCGUUAGUUUUGUAAACUAAAAAUGGGUUUAACCCUCAGGAUU